This is an RNA transcript of Tripterygium wilfordii, 1421 nucleotides long. RefSeq lists it as uncharacterized. The transcript has 9 exons. Lineage: Eukaryota; Viridiplantae; Streptophyta; Magnoliopsida; Celastrales; Celastraceae. The record is from RefSeq and is a predicted model, not a curated record.
GACAAGAAGAAUCCGAGUAUUGAACGCAGAUUUCUUCCCUCUAAUCAAUUCACUGUCCGAUUCUCACUCAAAUUUGGAAGAGAAGGUUUCUUUUUGUUCUAAAGAGAUGUCAAGUGGACCAGUAAGAAGAGUUUCACCCAGUGAUAUACAAUUGGUGCAAAAUCUUAUAGAACGAUGUCUACAACUAUACAUGAACCAGAAAGAAGUUGUAGAAACUUUGUUGGUGCAGGCAAAGAUAGAGCCUGGUUUUACAGAACUUGUUUGGCAGAAGCUUGAAGAAGAGAAUCAGGAUUUCUUCAGGGCUUAUUAUCUGAGAUUGAUGGUGAAAGACCAAAUAAUUAAAUUCAACAAGCUGCUUGAGCAACAGGUGCGGUUGAUGCAUCAGAUACAGCCUGCUGGAGUUGUGUCAAUGCCUACAUCUAAUGGGUCUCAUAUCCCACAAUUGCAUCACAACUCAGCAUUAUAUGCCACAGAACAGGCUGGACCAGCUCUGAAGGAGGAAAAUUUGCAGCACGGCAUUGGUUCCCGUUUACCUGAUGUAUUCAGUAAUGGUGGGUCUUCAUUACUUACAAAUAUGCACGACCCCAUUGAUAUGUCUUCCCAGGCGAGUAGGAUUGAUGUCCCCCAUAACCUGCUUCCAACUCAGAGCUCAAAUAUUAGUUUGAUUCAAGGUAUAAAUGGAGGGAUGAUAAAAACUGAAACUGGUUAUUAUGGCAGUUCUCCUUACAUGUUUGGUGCUGAGAGCCAUGUCCUGGAAGCUCGCCUACCAAUUGGGGAUACAUCAGUCGCAUCCUUCAGUAGUGUAGAGUCCAGCACAAGAUCCCUGAACGAAACACUUUUGGAUGCAGACUCUGCUUCAUUUGGAUAUUUACAUCAGAUUCCUCGAAAUUUCAGUCUCUCAGACCUGACAGCAGACUUCUCUCAAAGUGCAGAUAUUCUGGAAAGCUACCCUCGUUCACCCUUCCUUACGGCAUAUCCUGAAAACUUCUUGGAUUCGCAUGAAGGAGAGCACCAAGGAGACAAUAAAAGGUUGGACACUAUAUCAGAAGGCCUGAGCUAUGAAGAUUUUGGAAGCGAAUAGCCACAGAAGUAUUAACUAACCUGCCCUUUUUGUUUUAGGAUACUCAAUCUUAAUACAAAAGUUAAAUAAGGUCAUUAGAAGGCUUUGUAUAUACCAUUUUAAAGGUGGAGAAGCUUCAGAUUUAGGAGUGUACUUGAAGAAAGAUCUAUCGGUGUAUCAAAAAAGUUUCGCUUGCUGACGGAAUUCUUAAUAACGACAAUAAGGAAUGCUUUGGGGGAUGAAAGAAAGCUUAGUAAUAACUAAUAACACAAGGGAAUGGCUUUUUGUAGCCAUGGGAAUCCAUGAAGGUGAAUUCUUAGUUCUUACAAGGCUUUGUUUAAUAAUAAUAAUCUAUCGGCGU